Molecule: ribosomal RNA, 213 nt
Filed under: uncultured bacterium
Lineage: Bacteria
Description: partial 16S ribosomal RNA
Rfam family: Bacterial small subunit ribosomal RNA
Source: RNAcentral
CUCAGUUCGGAUUGAAGGCUGAAAUUCGCCUUCAUGAAGCCGGAAUUGCUAGUAAUGGCAGGUCAGCAUACUGCCGUGAAUACGUUCCCGGGCCUUGUACACACCGCCCGUCACACCAUGAGAGUCGGGAACACCCGAAGUCCGUAGUCUAACCGCAAGGGGGCGCGGCCGAAGGUGGGUCCGGUAAUUGGGGUGAAGUCGUAACAAGGUAUC